Molecule: ribosomal RNA, 495 nt
Filed under: uncultured bacterium
Lineage: Bacteria
Description: partial 16S ribosomal RNA
Rfam family: Bacterial small subunit ribosomal RNA
Source: RNAcentral
GACGAACGCUGGCGGCGUGCCUAAUACAUGCAAGUAGAACGCUGAAGGAGGAGCUUGCUUCUCUGGAUGAGUUGCGAACGGGUGAGUAACGCGUAGGUAACCUGCCUGGUAGCGGGGGAUAACUAUUGGAAACGAUAGCUAAUACCGCAUAAUAUUGACUAUUGCAUGAUAGUCAGUUGAAAGGUGCAACUGCACCACUACCAGAUGGACCUGCGUUGUAUUAGCUAGUUGGUGGGGUAACGGCUCACCAAGGCGACGAUACAUAGCCGACCUGAGAGGGUGAUCGGCCACCCUGGGACUGAGACACGGCCCAGACUCCUACGGGAGGCAGCAGUAGGGAAUCUUCGGCAAUGGACGGAAGUCUGACCGAGCAACGCCGCGUGAGUGAAGAAGGUUUUCGGAUCGUAAAGCUCUGUUGUAAGAGAAGAACGAGUGUGAGAGUGGAAAGCUCACACUGUGACGGUAGCUUACCAGAAAGGGACGGCUAACUACGUG